This 540-nucleotide ribosomal RNA is filed under the name Moraxellaceae bacterium BACT-41. RNAcentral's name for it is "bacterial SSU rRNA". It matches the Rfam family "Bacterial small subunit ribosomal RNA", at positions 93 to 629 of the family's 1533-position model. Lineage: Bacteria; Pseudomonadati; Pseudomonadota; Gammaproteobacteria; Moraxellales; Moraxellaceae. The record is from RNAcentral.
UAGUGGCGAACGGGUGAGUAAUACUUGGGAAUCUGCCUUGUAGCGGGGGAUAACGUUUCGAAAGGAACGCUAAUACCGCAUACGUCCUACGGGAGAAAGGAGGGGAUCUUCGGACCUUCCACUAUAAGAUGAGCCCAAGCGAGAUUAGCUAGUUGGUAAGGUAAAGGCUUACCAAGGCGACGAUCUCUAGCUGGUCUGAGAGGAUGAUCAGCCACACUGGGACUGAGACACGGCCCAGACUCCUACGGGAGGCAGCAGUGGGGAAUAUUGGACAAUGGGCGAAAGCCUGAUCCAGCCAUGCCGCGUGUGUGAAGAAGGCCUUCGGGUUGUAAAGCACUUUAAGCGAGGAGGAAUGGCUCUGGGUUAAUACCCUUGAGCAGUGACGUUACUCGCAGAAUAAGCACCGGCUAACUCUGUGCCAGCAGCCGCGGUAAUACAGAGGGUGCAAGCGUUAAUCGGAAUUACUGGGCGUAAAGCGCGCGUAGGCGGUUACGUAAGUUGGAGGUGAAAUCCCCGAGCUCAACUUGGGAAUUGCCUUCA